AGGAGGAGUGGGAGGACUUGUUGUUGUACGAGAUCUUGAUCAUUACUCUUACUGUGAAUCCUGCUUGGUUCCUUUUCAUGUCAAGUGUCACAUUGGUUAUGUCCCAUCGGGCCAACGUGUUUUAGGACUGAGUAAGUUCUCUAGAGUCACUGAUGUUUUCGCCAAGCGGCUCCAAGACCCUCAGCGUUUGGCUGAUGAUAUUUGUUCUGCCCUCCAACAUUGGGUCAAACCAGCUGGAGUCGCUGUUGUUCUCGAAUGCUCUCACAUUCACUUCCCCAGUCUGGACUUGGAUUCUCUGGACUUGUCCAC
RNAcentral lists this long non-coding RNA (309 nucleotides) under Capsella rubella. RNAcentral's name for it is "long non-coding RNA (CRUB_LNC003543)". Lineage: Eukaryota; Viridiplantae; Streptophyta; Magnoliopsida; Brassicales; Brassicaceae. The record is from RNAcentral.